Homo sapiens (human) is the source of this 1705-nucleotide long non-coding RNA. RefSeq lists it as uncharacterized. The record is from RefSeq and is a predicted model, not a curated record. The transcript is spliced from 3 exons. Lineage: Eukaryota; Metazoa; Chordata; Mammalia; Primates; Hominidae.
UAUAACACAAAACCUUACCAAAUUGUAGUUUGCUUCCUAAGAGACUGGAUUACUAAAUUGAGAGACUGUUUCCAUGGUCAAUAAAACUGAAAAAAGUAUAAUCUGAACAUAGUUCUGGAUUGUUAUUUAGAAGGUGUGCAAAAUUGUAAAUGACUCAUUCUCAUAAAAAAGCAGCUUUCUUUGGUUCUUAUAUGCCUCAGGCUCUCCACAGCCAAAAAAUGAAUUAGAUAAAUGAACAAGUUCUGGGUAAGAUUCAAGUACAUACUUCAUUGGAGUACUUCAAAAUAAAGCAACACUGUCCUGGGCUAUGAAGGGAUACAAAAGUUAUAUAUGUUCCAACCCUCAAAGGAAAUAUUGUAUCCUUGCAUCAAUAAGGGAACCAGGAAUGGAACAAUGGAAAAUAUUGGAAGUUUAUAGUAAGUAGAAUUGUAAGUAAAAUGAUAACAAACAGGUAAAAUCACAUAUAGGAAAUUUAGCAUCAAAAUUUGGCCUAUAGACCAGGGAUAAUCAAACUUAACUAUGUAUCAUAAUCACCUGGAAGGCUUGGUGAGUUGCUGAUUUAAUAAGUAGCUUGGGUUGAGGCCCAAGAAUUUGGAUGUCUAGCAUUCACAUGUGAUGUAGCUGCUACAAAGGGGAUUGCAAUUUGCAAAACAUACCUAGAGCACCAGAAAGCCAUUUAAAGAUCAGUCUAGUUAAUUUCAGAUAACUUCUGUAUCUUGUAGAGACGGCACAGUGUGAUGCCCAUAAUAUACAUAUACACACACACAGGCGCAGGUGCACACACACACGAGCACACACACACAUGUGCAGGUGCACACACACACACGAGCACACACACACAUGUGCAGGUGCACACACACACACGAGCACACACACACGAGCACACACACACAUGUGCAGGUGCACACACACACACGAGCACACACACACAUGUGCAGGUGCACACACACACGAGCACACACACACAUGUGCAGGUGCACACACACACACGAGCACACACACACCGCAGAAAAACAUCAGGAAUAUUUAGUUGGAUUGUGUUAGGAGUUUCUUUCUCCCGUUAGAGAUCCUCAGCCUCAGCUAUUGCUUUUAGAUGAACAUGCAGCCUCUCCCUGCUCAGAUGCAGAUUCCCUUCCUCAUCAUAGGGUUUUUUUUCUGUUAACCACAGUGUGUGAUUUCACAUGUUAAUAUAAAAACAAUUCAGAAAUACUGGGGAAAAUAUUAUUUCUGUCUGUAGUUGCUCCUCUGAUAUUUAUGAGACCCGCCUGGUUUCCUUACUUGUGGAGUUUCUAGAUGAUAGUACAACAUUUAAACAUAUUUUUUAAAAUAUUAUUACAAAUAUUAACUAAAAUUACUGAAAAACUAAUAUUCUUUUAAAAUUAUAAUUUUACAAUUAUGACAUAAGUACUCUACACUUAUACAAUACUUAGGAAAAAAAUCACCAGUUAGAUGAAGCUAUCAUUUUUUGUAGAUUCUCAUUUUCCCUUUCUUCUAUUCAUGUAUAUACCAUGUUUCAAAGAAUAAGAUCAGGACUUGCAUUUUGAUCUGUAACCUGUUUUUGUGAUGUAACAAUCCACUAUAAAUCACCUUCAUGUCAACAAAAAUGUAUCUAAAAUAUGAGAUCACACAACAUUUUAAAAGGUCCACCUUAGGAUAAAUUUGAAAGCAUAAAGCCACCUAUCAAUAAAGACAUAUGUACAACUGA